Molecule: small RNA, 4508 nt
Filed under: Rattus norvegicus (Norway rat)
Lineage: Eukaryota; Metazoa; Chordata; Mammalia; Rodentia; Muridae
Description: uncharacterized LOC103693092
Source: RNAcentral
GUGAGGGGGAAGAAGGAGAGGAGAGAGAAGAAUGCAUUUUUCCCCACAUUCUAGUAUUGUGCAACUAUACUAGGUGUGGUUGAUAUCCACAUGUUGAAUAGGAAAUAGUGUUUAGUUUCCCUGACAUAACUUGGUAGUUUAUUUCCAAUUUUUAAUAAGACAUUUCUAGAACAAUCAAGAGGACCAAAUUAGAAUAUAUGAAAGUGACAUUGUCAAGGUAAACACAGCCCUUAAAAUCAUCCACCACUUGGAAUUUAUUAGCCUCAUUCUUAUUCCCUCCCCCUACCAUAGGCCAGACAGCCAUAAUGGCAGUAGAUGGAGAACGGGCUGUAUGUGUCUUCCUUGUCAUAGCUUAACCUUGUGGACAAUAUGAACCAAGUUAGACAAUUUAAGAAGAAUGGAGGCACCUUGGUGUGCUCUGUUUCUCUCUGCGUUCCUAGGCCUGGUAGACAGGCUCUAUUUGUUUGAGAACCAAUGUCUCUUCAGAGUCUUACAAGAUAAAUGAACAAAAUGUUUGAGUAGAUAAAUGCAGAGCAAGCCAAGAUGACGAAUACUGAACAUAAGAGCCAAGCAAAUGUUAGAAUCUUAAUUUACAGGAUCUACAUUAUACCAUCACUACUUAGUAACCGUCCCUGGUGGGUGCUACGUACCCGUUGCUAUUAAAACAUUUACACAACCAAUCUAGAAAACUGACUCUCAGGCCCUCGUGAAGAUCCCUAAUCCACAGAGGGCCCAGGUUUCUUCCUUCCAGUGUCAGGACCUGAUGCUCAAGUCUGAGGAUCAGCUGGAUGACAGAAGGGUGUUUCAGAACUCCUGGGAACCAGAACAGAGAUCUUAAGUGACAGAAGAUUUCAGAAAGAACAGCUCUCCUCCGCUGCAUUGGGUGAUGCCAUUUUUCCCAGGUGAGCACACACUAAGUAGAGUGGAGCUUAGGUUGACCUUUCCUUCUGUGGCAUACUCAGUGUAGUGUACAUCAGGACUGUCAUGAGCCUGUUGUUUUGAGAGGUCUCUGCUAGCCACCAGCACUCAAAUUGACCAAGUGUUCACCAGUGGAUAAACAGAUAAAGAUGCCCCCCUUUCAAUCCUCACUCCUGUGAUUUGUGACAAUAUAGAGGAACCCCAGGGGCACACAUUAAAUGAAAUAAUGUUUGAGGUGCCCAAAGAUAAGUGUUGUACGAUCUCAUCCAUAGACAUUGUAUAGAUGUAUAGAGGUCUAUACAUUGUAUUAACAGAGACUAAGGUGGGGAAGGAGAGGGAGCUAGCAAAGAAGUUGAUCUUUGGGUACAAACUUACAGUUAGGAUAAGCAAGUUUUGGCAUAUGACUGCACAGUAGAGUGACUACAUCAAUGAUAACAGUUAAUAUUUCAAAAAACCUAGAAGAGAUGAUCCUCCUUAUUGGUAUUAUAAUAAUUGAAGAAAGGAUUUUAAUAUUCUACUGCCAAGACAGGAUAAAUGUUUUGAAGCCAUGAGUAUAAUUCCCAUGACUCGAUCACUGGAUAAUGUUUGUAUAAUGUGUAACUAUUGUGUUAGUUUUCUGUCAGCCUAACACAGACUAGAGUCAUCUGGAAGAAGGCACCUCAGCCAAGAAAAUGACCUCUUCAGAUUGGCUUGUGGGCAAGUCUGUGGGGGGGCAUUUUCUUAGUAAAGGAUUGAUGUUCGAGGGCGCAGUCCACUGCGGGUGGUGCCAACCCUGACAGGAGGUUCUGAGUUGUAAAAACAAACGCUGAGGGAGCCAUGGGGAGCAGGCCAGGAAGCAGUGUUUCUCUUGCUUCCAGGUGACUGCCCUGACUUUCCGUCCUAAUAGACUAAGCUGGAGUUUUGUAAGGCCUUCCCAAGCUGCUUUUGGCCACGAUGUUUAUCACAGCAACAGAAAGUAAAUUAGAACAUGCAUAUUGAAGUUCAUGUUGUACCCCCACAGAUGUAUAUAAUCAUUUUAUAUACAUACAUAUAUACAUACAUAUGUCCGUAAGUGUGUGUGUGUGUGUGUGUGUGUGUCCGUGUGUCCGUGUGCACGUAUGCACGUGUGCAUAUCUACAGCUGCCGAAAAUCUGCUGUUGAGAGAAAGGAAGUCACCAGUGAGAGGUGGCUAUAUGCGAAACUCCUCUUUUCUUUGCUGCUACAUGGGCACUCUCCAGGGAGGAAGCUUUGAGCACAAGGAAGGGGGAGGCUUUUAACUUCAGCAUUUCUGUUCCUAGUCCUAAGCUAGGGGUGGUUUGCUGAGACCGAAAACUCCAUCAGAGGAAGACAUGUCCGCUAACUGCGGCUAAGUAUGAAUUCCUACCGGGAUUAGAAUUCGCACACCCUGACUUCCUAACUGAGACUCUCUUGGAGAACUGGGCCAAACUGGAACUUUAGAAACCUUGGUAGAAAACAGGAGUCUUGGCUUCUAGAAGACAGGAGGGACCAGAAGGGUCUGAAAGGCCCCUGCAUCAAAACCCUAAACUUCUGGUUGUCUUGGUUGAUGCGAUCCUUGAACAGGACUUCCUCAGAAGUGCCCCAGCAAAGCCAGCCUGAUCCAGCACCUCCAGGUGUGAGCAGAGCAGCCUCAGGAAUUCCCAGGUCCAGAUACUUCUAAGAAGAGGCACAGAGAGUUGUUAGAGAAUCCCUUGGUAUGGUAUUUUGCCCAGCGUCAACUGUCAACUUGACAUAGUCAAGAGCCAAUUGCUAAGAGAGUCUCAAAUGAGUGUCCUUUUCAGGUCAGUCUGUGGGUAUGGAUGUAAGAGACUGCCUUGAUUACUAGGUGAUGUUGGGUGUGCCCACUGCAGGAGGCACUAUUACCUGGGCUGUAUAAGAAAGCUAGCUAAGCGUAAGCCUGUGAGUGAGUCAGCAUCUAACAUUCACCUUUGCUUUCUGCUCCUUUCCUGCCCUUGACUUCCCUCGAUGAUGGACAGCAAUCUGGAAGCUGAAAUAAGCCCUUUCCUUCUUAAAGGGGGUUUUGGUCACGAUAUUUGUGGCAGCAACUGAAUCAAACUGGAAUAUUUGGAAUCUACGCCUUUUGAUGGGACUAUAAACAUCUUUUCACAGCUUCUGAACUACAUCCCAUAAUAUACAUGACCGCAUCCAUCACAGACAGCCAAGAGGCUGCUUCUGGGAUUUUUUUCCAUCCAGUAAUAUCUCUCUGGGUAAGAUGAUACACACGUCACUCACUUCAGGCCAGGGACAGGUGUGUUGUCUUUUGAUUUUUCUGCACACCGGUCUUCACCACCAUGUCUCAUGCCCAGCCUGCAUCAAGAGAUGGCUUGCCCCGAGCCAAUAUGAUUACAGAGGAAAAACAACAAAACCCUCUGACAUGGCUGGCUUUGAUGGGUCUAGUGUUAUUUGCUGCCCCCUUGUGGUCAGACUGGAUUCCCUCAUUCGCCUCUCCAGGACGUAUAGCAGGUUUCUGAAGAGAAAGCUUGGCAGAGUUUUGUUAGGAGGAACAGAGAGAAAGGUUGAAACUGGCGAGAGUUUUAAAUAAGAAAAGACUAAUGAAAUGGUUGCUACACUUGACACUCUCUGACCCUGUAGUCGUCUGUGGCAGGAAAUGGAUGGUUGUCGAGAAUCCGUUUGGGGCGCCGACUCCAGGUCCCUAUAAUUUAUCAUUUUUAUAUAUUCCAUCUUAGACCUUUUUAUAACUUGCACUUGCUUAUCUUAAAUUGCCUUCUCAGACCCUCACAACUCACUUAAGCUCCCAUAUCCUCAGACCUUUAUACAUCUUAAAUUUCUUUCUUAAAGGGCCGAGAUGUGGAGAAGUUGCCCGCCCCUCUCUUCCCUUCCUCCAACAACAGAGUCCCAUUGAGCUUUGUCCUUACCCACCCCACCCAGAAGAGAAACCAAGUUCCCCACCUAAGAGUGAAGCAACUGGAAUAUCUCGGCUUAGCUGUUCGGUAGCCGUUCAACUGCCUUGACCCACAGAAGGGAAGAGGGUGACACUGACAAGCGUCCAAUUAAGCUUGCCGCUUCUAAGACAAGGAGUGACCUGAGCGACCCACAGCUGGCUGAAGAUGAGGUACAUACACAAUGGGAUGUUAUUCAGCUACACAAUGGAGGAAAGCUGUCAUUGUGGCAGCCCAGAUGGAACUGGCACCAUUAUGUUAAACGAAACAGGCUAGGAAGUCAAGUACUACUUGUUCUCCAUGACAUCUGCAACCUUUACAGAGCCAUCUCCUAGAGUGGUUACUAGAAGCUGGGAAGGGUCAGCGGAGGUGUGUGUGGAGAGAGGGGAGGGAGAGAGCAUCAGAGUAAAAGAGGCAAACUGAAAGUCUCAUUGCGCGUUAGAACCAAGCUCUGGCUGGUAACUGUGUCUCCUGUACAGCUAAACGAGGAAACGGGCAGUGCUGGAGGGGGAUGGGUAUGCCCAGCACACUGUUGAUCAAACAUUGCACAUGUAUAUUGAAUAUCACACUGCAUUACAAAAUAUGUAUAGUUAUUCAGCUGAAUCAAUUAAAAUUAAUCCCAAGCAACAAAAUAAACCCUAUGUCAUGAAAAUGACCCCUGCUUCUGCCAUUUUUCUGUUUCAUUCACUCAGA